UACGUAGGGGGCAAGCGUUGUCCGGAAUCAUUGGGCGUAAAGGGCGCGUAGGUGGCCCGGUCAGUCCGUGGUGAAAGCGCGGGGCUCAACCCUGCGUCGGCCAUGGAUACUGCCGCGGCUCGAGCACUGUAGAGGCAGGCGGAAUUCCGGGUGUAGCGGUGGAAUGCGUAGAGAUCCGGAAGAACACCGGUGGCGAAGGCGGCCUGCUGGGCAGUUUAGCUGACACUGAGGCGCGACAGCGUGGGGAGCAAACAGG
Molecule: ribosomal RNA, 256 nt
Filed under: uncultured bacterium
Lineage: Bacteria
Description: partial 16S ribosomal RNA
Rfam family: Bacterial small subunit ribosomal RNA
Source: RNAcentral